AUUGAACGCUGGCGGCAGGCCUAACACAUGCAAGUCGAACGAGUGGCGGACGGGUGAGUAAUGUCUGGGACACUGCCUGAUGGAGGGGUAUAACUACUGGAAACGGUAGCUAAUACCGCAUACCCUCGGAUGUGCCCAGAUGGGAUUAGCUAGUAGGUGGGGUAAAGGCUCACCUAGGCGACGAUCCAUAGCUGGUCUGAGAGGAGGACCAGCCACACUGGAACUGAGACACGGCCCAGACUCCGACGUGAGGCAGCAGGGGGGAAUAUUGCACAAUGGGCGCAAGCCUGAUGCAGCCAUGCCGCGUGUAUGAAGAAGGCCUUCGGGUUGUAAAGUACUUUCAGCGGGGAGGCGUUACCCGCAGAAGAAGCACCGGCUAACUCCGUGCCAGCAGCCGCGGUAAUAC
This 406-nucleotide ribosomal RNA is filed under the name uncultured bacterium. RNAcentral's name for it is "partial 16S ribosomal RNA". It matches the Rfam family "Bacterial small subunit ribosomal RNA", at positions 30 to 526 of the family's 1533-position model. The record is from RNAcentral.